UACGUAGGGUGCAAGCGUUGUCCGGAAUUAUUGGGCGUAAAGAGCUCGUAGGCGGUCUGUCGCGUCGGCUGUGAAAACCUGGGGCUUAACUCCGGGCCUGCAGCCGAUACGGGCAGACUAGAGUUCGGCAGGGGAGACUGGAAUUCCUGGUGUAGCGGUGAAAUGCGCAGAUAUCAGGAGGAACACCGAUGGCGAAGGCAGGUCUCUGGGCAUUAACUGACGCUGAGGAGCGAAAGCGUGGGGAGUGAACAGG
This 253-nucleotide ribosomal RNA is filed under the name uncultured bacterium. Its description in RNAcentral is "partial 16S ribosomal RNA". It matches the Rfam family "Bacterial small subunit ribosomal RNA", at positions 524 to 776 of the family's 1533-position model. The record is from RNAcentral.